RNAcentral lists this ribosomal RNA (490 nucleotides) under uncultured bacterium. RNAcentral describes it as "partial 16S ribosomal RNA". It matches the Rfam family "Bacterial small subunit ribosomal RNA", at positions 30 to 507 of the family's 1533-position model. The record is from RNAcentral.
AUUGAACGCUGGCGGCAGGCCUAACACAUGCAAGUCGAACGGUAACAGGAAUCAGCUUGCUGAUUCGCUGACGAGUGGCGGACGGGUGAGUAAUGUCUGGGAAACUGCCUGAUGGAGGGGGAUAACUACUGGAAACGGUAUCUAAUACCGCAUAACGUCGCAAGACCAAAGAGGGGGACCUUCGGGCCUCUUGCCAUCGGAUGUGCCCAGAUGGGAUUAGCUAGUAGGUGGGGUAAAGGCUCACCUAGGCGACGAUCCCUAGCUGGUCUGAGAGGAUGACAAGCCACACUGGAACUGAGACACGGUCCAGACUCCUACGGGAGGCAGCAGUGGGGAAUAUUGCACAAUGGGCGCAAGCCUGAUGCAGCCAUGCCGCGUGUAUGAAGAAGGCCUUCGGGUUGUAAAGUACUUUCAGCGGGGAGGAAGGGAGUAAAGUUAAUACCUUUGCUCAUUGACGUUACCCGCAGAAGAAGCACCGGCUAACUCCGUG